Molecule: long non-coding RNA, 792 nt
Organism: Sorex araneus (European shrew)
Lineage: Eukaryota; Metazoa; Chordata; Mammalia; Eulipotyphla; Soricidae
Exons: 3
Source: RefSeq, a predicted model, not a curated record
CCCCCGCUGCACAAACCCGGCUUCCCCCGCAGCCCUUCGAGGAGGCGUCUGCACCGGGGAAACUUUGAGCUGAGGCGGCGGCCACCGAGAGGGGCUAGACUGGCAGCGAGAGGCAGCCGAGAGAGCCAGGGUUCCCUCGCACCCUUCCUCUCCUCUUCACUCCCACGACUAACAUAUCUGCACAGUCGCUCUGGAAGCCCGCUUAGAUCAUUUCUGAAAAGAACUGCCUGGGGACGUCGGAAUCGGGCCAAUUUCGUGGAUACGCUUCUACUGUGAACUGGACGGUAGCAGGUUUUGCGCCUGGAAGUAGCAGUCCGGAUCCUCUACGAGCUCCUGCCCCAACUUCUCCGAGCCCAAGCGCCAACUUCUCUCCCUAGACCGCUGGGUAUCCACUGCUGGGGAGCUCAGAGCUGGAAAGAAGGCGAUGUCAGAAGCUCCGCGAGUUUCUUCCAAGCUUCAGAAGGAGUCUCCCAGCAGAAGUUUGACUUACCCAGCGGUAGACAGCUGGGAUUUCUCACUGGAAACUUUUGCCCUCGAUUACAUUUUGUUUGAUUUGACGGCGUUUCACCUUUGUGUUCUGCCAGUGCAGCAUGACUACUUCCACUCUGACACUGUCCAGGCUGCGGAUCGCUGCGGGUGUUCUUAUUCCGGAGCUGGGAGCGUUUCUGCAAUCUGGGACCUACUGGGGAAAGCAAAGACUUAAGUAGCGCGGCGUGCUGCCGACAGCGCUGGGUUGGUUCCCUUGCUCCCCGGCGGAUCGCCCAGCAGGUUCCCGGGUCUCCAGACAAGAAG